ACACUCUUCAAACAAGGACAGCUGAAUGUCAACCAUUGUUGGAACGUUGCCAACGGAUAUAUGGAUGGUGUUAUACUCUUUAAAAAAAGUUCAAGGGGCUUCCCUGGUGGCGCAGUGGUUGAGAAUCUGCCUGCCAAUGCAGGGGACAUGGGUUCAAGCCCUGGUCUGGGAAGAUCCCACAUGCCGCAGAGCAACUGGGCCCAUGAGCCACAACUACUGUGCCUGUGCGUCUGGAGCCUGUGCUCGGCAACAAGAGAGGCCGCGACAGUGAGAGGCCCGCGCACCGCGAUGAAGAGUGGCCCCCAUUCGCCGCCAACUAGAGAAAGCCCUCCCACAGAAACGAAGACCCAACACAGCCAAUAAUAAAUAAAUAAAUAAAUAAAUUUAUUUUAAAAAAAAAGUUCAAGAUGUUCAAAAUGUUUUGAUGUUCAGAAAUGAGUUUUAGAGGAAAAAAGAAUACACCAGCAUAAAAGUGAGUACAAAAUAUUCUGAGUCUCUAGUGCCCUUGCUGGGAAGACAGGAAUGACUGAAGGGGUCGGCAGCAAUGAGGACCACCUGGGAGCAACAGAGCGGCAGCCCAGGACCGGGAGGAGACCCCAGUCCCAGAAAGAUAUACAAUCUCUCUGCCACCCAGCAAGACUCAAGUUUUAAAGACAUAGGCCAGGGCUUCCCUGGUGGCGCAGUGGUUGAGAGUCCGCCUGCCGAUGCAGGGGACACGGGUUCGUGCCCCAGUCCUGGAAGAUCCCACAUGCCGCGGAGCGGCUGGGCCUGUGAGCCAUGGCCGCUGAGCCUGCGCGUCCAGAGCCUGUGCUCCGCAACGGGAGAGGCCACAACAGUGAGGCCCGCAUACCGCAAAAAAAAAAAGACAUAGGCCAUACCAUCUCCACUGACUAGGCAGGGACACACAGUGAUGACAGUCUACUUGAAACUGACUGAAGCCCUCUUGGUGUGCAUCAAAUGGCUUGCAAAUAAUUUGUAUUCAGUGAGCUCUGGUUAAAGGACCCAAUCAGCCAAUCAGUGAGUUACCAAUCUCUCCUAAUAUCAGGUUUAUUCUACUACGACACUAAUAACUACAAAUAUACUUCUAAUAAAAAUUUUGUAUGCUAAAAUUAUUUUUCUUAAUAAAAAAUUUAAUGUCAUUCAGGUUGAGCCUGAACUCUAAACACCCCAACCUCAGAGGCGGGGAGAGGGAUUGGAGGCUGAACCAAUAACCAAAGGCCAAUGAUUUAAUCACUCAUGCCUACAUAAGGAAAUCUUCAUAAAAAUGCUAACAGAUGAGUUUCAGAGAGCUUCCGGGCUGCUGAACACCUGGAGGUGCUGGGAGGGUGUGGUACCCAGAGAGGGCACAGAAGCUCUGCACCACUUCCCACACACCUCAUCCCACGCACCUUCUCCAUCUGGCUGUUUCUGAAUUGUACCCUUUUACAAUAAACCAAUAAUCUAAUAAGUAAA
This is a long non-coding RNA of Orcinus orca (killer whale), 1452 nucleotides long. RefSeq lists it as uncharacterized. The transcript has 2 exons. The record is from RefSeq and is a predicted model, not a curated record. NCBI's taxonomy places the organism in Eukaryota, Metazoa, Chordata, Mammalia, Artiodactyla, Delphinidae.